This 497-nucleotide ribosomal RNA is filed under the name uncultured bacterium. Its description in RNAcentral is "partial 16S ribosomal RNA". It matches the Rfam family "Bacterial small subunit ribosomal RNA", at positions 28 to 507 of the family's 1533-position model. The record is from RNAcentral.
GAUGAACGCUGGCGGCGUGCCUAAUACAUGCAAGUCGAGCGAACGGACGAGAAGCUUGCUUCUCUGAUGUUAGCGGCGGACGGGUGAGUAACACGUGGAUAACCUACCUAUAAGACUGGGAUAACUUCGGGAAACCGGAGCUAAUACCGGAUAAUAUUUUGAACCGCAUGGUUCAAAAGUGAAAGACGGUCUUGCUGUCACUUAUAGAUGGAUCCGCGCUGCAUUAGCUAGUUGGUAAGGUAACGGCUUACCAAGGCAACGAUGCAUAGCCGACCUGAGAGGGUGGAUCGCCCAACUGGGAACGAGGAACGGGCCAAGAUCCUACGGGAGGCAGCAGUAGGGAAUCUUCCGCAAUGGGCGAAAGCCUGACGGAGCAACGCCGCGUGAGUGAUGAAGGUCUUCGGAUCGUAAAACUCUGUUAUUAGGGAAGAACAUAUGUGUAAGUAACUGUGCACAUCUUGACGGUACCUAAUCAGAAAGCCACGGCUAACUACGUG